ACUGGCAAGCAAUACCAACAUCCUUUUAUUCCUUAAAUUGUAUCAACUCAAACAGGAAAGUAAAAUUAUCCUUGACUACUUUCCUAAUUCAAAUUAUUCCAAGGAAUGGGCAAAAUGUGUUCACGCAAGAAGGUUUAAGACUCAAGUGGUGACCCAUGGACUUGGAGAAUUGCAAGGCAAGGAGGAAGGUAUAUUUUUUUUACCCAACCAAGAAGGCCUCAGGGCCUUAUGGCCAAGAUGGGCUGUGACCCAAGGAUGUCGCACCCAUGGGUGGCCCAUGCCCAAAGAUGAUGGCCCAAAAGUACCAAGCAUGUGCAGUCCAUAUGCGCAUAGAAUGCGCAUGAGUGCAGCAAGGCCU
RNAcentral lists this long non-coding RNA (358 nucleotides) under Carica papaya (papaya). RNAcentral describes it as "long non-coding RNA (CPAP_LNC009055)". Lineage: Eukaryota; Viridiplantae; Streptophyta; Magnoliopsida; Brassicales; Caricaceae. The record is from RNAcentral.